Vicia faba (fava bean) is the source of this 216-nucleotide non-coding RNA. Lineage: Eukaryota; Viridiplantae; Streptophyta; Magnoliopsida; Fabales; Fabaceae. The record is from the annotation of a GenBank genome assembly.
AUGAAGCAAAGAGAGAAAACUACCAUAGUUCAUGAUUUAUGGGAGGUGACUUUGGAGAAUAAAAAUUUCAAGACCUCUGAUUUCUACAAAGAGCUCAUUGAUGAUGGUAGUAGAGUUAAUUGGAGAAAGCUUCUGAAACACAAUCUGGCGAGACCUUACGCUUUACAUUGCUUUUGGAUGGCAUGCCAUAACAGUCUACCCACGAAGGAAAAAUGA